CGGUGGGGUGCUUUACCAUGCAAGUCGACGAUGAACCACUUCGGUGGGGAUUAGUGGCGAACGGGUGAGUAACACGUGGGCAAUCUGCCCUUCACUCUGGGACAAGCCCUGGAAACGGGGUCUAAUACCGGAUAACACUGCGGAUCGCAUGGUCUGCGGUUGAAAGCUCCGGCGGUGAAGGAUGAGCCCGCGGCCUAUCAGCUUGUUGGUGGGGUGAUGGCCUACCAAGGCGACGACGGGUAGCCGGCCUGAGAGGGCGACCGGCCACACUGGGACUGAGACACGGCCCAGACUCCUACGGGAGGCAGCAGUGGGGAAUAUUGCACAAUGGGCGAAAGCCUGAUGCAGCGACGCCGCGUGAGGGAUGACGGCCUUCGGGUUGUAAACCUCUUUCAGCAGGGAAGAAGCGAAAGUGACGGUACCUGCAGAAGAAGCGCCGGCUAACUACGUGCCAGCAGCCGCGGUAAUACGUAGGGCGCAAGCGUUGUCCGGAAUUAUUGGGCGUAAAGAGCUCGUAGGCGGCUUGUCACGUCGGAUGUGAAAGCCCGGGGCUUAACCCCGGGUCUGCAUUCGAUACGGGCAGGCUAGAGUGUGGUAGGGGAGAUCGGAAUUCCUGGUGUAGCGGUGAAAUGCGCAGAUAUCAGGAGGAACACCGGUGGCGAAGGCGGAUCUCUGGGGCAUUACUGACGCUGAGGAGCGAAAGCGUGGGGGAGCGAACAGGAUUAGAUACCCUGGUAGUCCACGCCGUAAACGUUGGGGAACUAGGUGUUGGCGACAUUCCACGUCGUCGGUGCCGCAGCUAACGCAUUAAGUUCCCCGCCUGGGGAGUACGGCCGCAAGGCUAAACUCAAAGGAAUUGACUGGGGCCCGCACAGCAGCGGAGCAUGUGGCUUAAUUCGACGCAACGCGAGAACCUUACCAAGCUUGACAUAUACCGGGAAGCAUCAGAGAUGGUGCCCCCCUUGUGGUCGGUAUACAGUGGUGCAUGGCCUGUCGUCAGCCCCGUGUCGGGAGAUGUUGGGGUUAGUCCCGCAACGAGCGCCAACCCUUGUUUCUGGUGUAU
This 1063-nucleotide ribosomal RNA is filed under the name Streptomyces sp. YIM 75785. RNAcentral's name for it is "bacterial SSU rRNA". It matches the Rfam family "Bacterial small subunit ribosomal RNA", at positions 37 to 1120 of the family's 1533-position model. The record is from RNAcentral. Lineage: Bacteria; Bacillati; Actinomycetota; Actinomycetes; Kitasatosporales; Streptomycetaceae.